CCUACGGGUGGCAGCAGUGAGGAAUAUUGGUCAAUGGGCGUAAGCCUGAACCAGCCAAGUCGCGUGAGGGAUGAAGGUUCUCUGGAUCGUAAACCUCUUUUAUAAGGGAAUAAAGUGUGGGACGUGUCCUAUUUUGUAUGUACCUUAUGAAUAAGGAUCGGCUAACUCCGUGCCAGCAGCCGCGGUAAUACGGAGGAUCCGAGCGUUAUCCGGAGUUAUUGGGUUUAAAGGGUGCAUAGGCUGCCUUUUAAGUCAGCGGUGAAAGUCUGUGGCUCAACCAUAGAAUUGCCGUUGAAACUGGGGGGCUUGAGUAUGUUUGAGGCAGGCGGAAUGCGUGGUGUAGCGGUGAAAUGCUUAGAUAGCACGCAGAACCCCGAUUGCGAAGGCAGCCUGCCAAGCCAUGACUGACGCUGAUGCACGAAAGCGUGGGGAUCAAACAGGAUUAGAUACCCCUGUAGUC
Molecule: ribosomal RNA, 460 nt
Filed under: uncultured bacterium
Lineage: Bacteria
Description: partial 16S ribosomal RNA
Rfam family: Bacterial small subunit ribosomal RNA
Source: RNAcentral